UGUUUGGAGACAUUAGGUGUGUCUCAAAUCGCACACUUCUGUACUUAUACUAGUUAUUUGAGUACACUCAAUCUGUCACUCGUCGAAGUGUGGUAAAUGCAGUGCACUACAAGUACCCGGAUGGUGCACUCAUAACGGUUAUAACAUAACGGUCAAAAAGUUGAGUGUGGAUCGAUGGACACUUUCCACCCUCAACGGUCGCCAUCUUGGCUACGUAGCAGAAGGGGCGGAGCUAACAAAAUGUGAAAAACUUUCGAUAAUGGCGGCCGAAUACGCGACAGCGAGACCCACGGAGUAUUACAAAUACGUGGCCGUCAAUGCUGCCAACUUGAGGGAAGUCCUCCUCUGCUGGAAGGCCAACGACCUGGGGGAGGAGAGAGAGGACUCCCUGCUGGUCUGGUGGACAGCACGGUGGCCCGGGGCAUAGCAAAGGCUCUGGCUAAACCACGAUAAGAGGUACCGCUGGUGAGCCAAAAGAGGAAGACAAGGGCCUCGAUGACGGGUCCCCAGCCAUGGUCACACGCCGUGCCGAGGAUGUACCGUUAAAGGAUCCCCCUGGAGAGUCUGAAGUCCACCAUCAGAUCACUUUCCCCAUCAAAGUACAGGGCCAGCAAUGAAUAGAACAAUGGGAUAUAUUUAAAUGUCUAUUGGGUUGCCUCUGCUUUCACUCUUGUAUUGUCACUGUAAUUAAUAGCUAUUGCAAUAAACACCCUUAUAUAAACAUAUAA
Long non-coding RNA from Sander lucioperca (pikeperch), 728 nucleotides. RefSeq lists it as uncharacterized. The record is from RefSeq and is a predicted model, not a curated record. The transcript has 2 exons. Lineage: Eukaryota; Metazoa; Chordata; Actinopteri; Perciformes; Percidae.